GCUGGGCAUGGUGGCUCAUGCCUGUAAUCCCAGCAAUUUGGGAGGCUGAGGCAGGUGGAUCACCUGAGGUCAGGUGUUCAGCCUGGCCAACAUGGUGAAACCCUGUCUCUA
This 111-nucleotide small RNA is filed under the name Callithrix jacchus (white-tufted-ear marmoset). RNAcentral describes it as "Metazoan signal recognition particle RNA (ENSCJAG00000080584.1)". The record is from Rfam by way of RNAcentral. Lineage: Eukaryota; Metazoa; Chordata; Mammalia; Primates; Cebidae.